Leptopilina heterotoma is the source of this 2130-nucleotide long non-coding RNA. RefSeq lists it as uncharacterized. Lineage: Eukaryota; Metazoa; Arthropoda; Insecta; Hymenoptera; Figitidae. The record is from RefSeq and is a predicted model, not a curated record. The transcript has 14 exons.
AAUUAUUUAGAAGAAAGUGUAUUGUAAUUUGAGAAGGUCUUUCAAGGACGUUCAGUGUUUCGGGAUGCAUGAGGAGGGGUCAUUUCGCAAUUUCCCAGUUGUCUAGAGGAACAGAAGGGUAAUCGGAGUAUAUUCAUUUUUUUUUUGUCUCCGAUUCAUGAUGGUUCGUCCCACCGCACCGCUCCCAGAUUUGGAACAGCACACAAGUCUAAUAGGGGAACGAGAGAGUUCGAAAUAACAUAAUGCUUAACUAAGCGUGUCCGCGAUCGUCAUUAGUACGCAAUAAUGGUUUAAUGGUUAGGUUAGCGUGCUCUUCGAUUCAACAUAACGUAACACGGACGUGUUAUUCUGAUGAUGUGCGGCGGCAAGAGUUUUCACCAUAUAUAUACGGGGUUGGUUGUACCAAUCGAAAUCGACUAUACGACUACUUUUAGAUACGUCCCGGUUGGAUACCUUUUGUUUACCCGGGUUUAUACUCUUCAGAAAGAAAAAAGAGAAACCCGUUCGCAUUUGAAACCCAAAGCCGCUAACUCGGAUCAUCGCUUAUAUACUACCAGAGGCACCCUUUACAUUGUUCUAUCCGUAAGGAUCUUCAAGAACCACUGAAUUCUAUAUAUGUUCGAUAGAUAUCACUGCGGAGUUUCGACGCUUUCAACAAUGGAAUGGAAAAAAACCCUUUACUACAAUAUGUACACUCCAAAUUGUUUCAACGAACGGAUAAAGAUUCGAGAGAUUCAAGAAGGAAUGAAAAUAAUGACGGUUGCCACAGGUCAGGAAAAUCAGGGAAUUCAGGAAAAGGUCAAGGAAAGUAGAAUUAGCCAGGGAAAAAUCAGGAAUUUUUAUAAAAAGUACUGGAAAAAAUUUCUUUUUCUAUUUCUACGACCACAAUGGAUUUUUGAAUAUUGUUCAAUUAUUUCAAAAGUUUUAACGCAGUUAUCUUGAUCUUUGCGGUUCUGGUGCUACUAGUGAAAAAAAUGCUGCAAAUCAGAUGAAAGAUUGUGUCCUUGCCUCCAUUAUCUGAAUUUUCGGAAAAAGAAAUGUUAAAACUUCGUUGAAAUGUUGAAGAAUUAACCAGAAUUCUUGGGAAACGGAGUGAAAUAUUUCACUGAAGAUUGUCCUCGCUAUUCGCUGCCUCAGAAAUUAUCAAUUUUGGAAAUAUUUGAUGAACGGAGGAGAAAAUGUGCAAAUACUAUGUGGCCUCUAUUUUCUAAAUGAGAAAUUUUCAACACCAAACGGUAGUAAUUAAUUUUGGAACUAUGUAAUUGAUGAAUUGACGACAAAAUAUUUUAAUUCUGCAAUGCUGUAUGAAUUGUGCCUACAAUUUCCUGAAACCAGAGAUUGAUCAAUUUUGGAUCUAUUUGAUGAACUGAGGAAACGAAUGUCCAAUACUUUAAGAGUAAAGUUUGCUGCGCUGCAUAUAAUCAAAAAGUUUCCUAUGGAGAAGCUAUAAGACUUGUGUCUCUGGUGUGUAAAUAAUAAAUGAACGAAAGAGAGUGAAGCAGCUUUGAAAGGAAAUCGAAAAAAUCAGUAUGUUGACCUCUCAUGGGAUUAUUUGGAGGUCAAAGAGCAAGGAAUGCGUGGUGAGGUCGUGACCCAGUGAGAGGCCGACCGAUGGGUGAUGGUACCGCAUGGUGGGCUAGAUCGACUGAACUGGAUAUAUCCUGAUAAUACUGCCAAUAGUAAAUACAAACACGGAAAGAGAAUCCUCAUUAAGUUUUGAGACGUAUUUUUUUCAAUUUGAUAAAGCGUCGUCAAAAUAUGUCUGGAGUCAUUGUGUCGCAGAUUUAAAGUUGAUAAUGCUGGUGUAUCUGUCGCUGUCGUAAACAUCAUAAGAAUCAUGAUAAUAAUUACUACGCACAUGGAAAGAGAAAUAUCGUAAAAUUUGGAACCGAAUUAUUUUCAAUUUGCUAAAGUAUCGUCAAAAUACGUUUGGAGUCACAGAUUUAAGAAGAUAGUCAACAAAUUGUCAACUUCGAUUAUAUCAAUUCUCAGUUGAGGGUCACAUUUACACCAGCAACGAGUGGAGAGCCGAAAAGAAACCACAACAUUUGUCCGUCUAUACCGGUAUACGUAACUUCGUAAUAGUGAUUGCCCUCAGUAGUGUCGUGUCGGUUGUGUGCAUCGAAUAAU